CUUAUGGGACUACUACCAUAUAUCCGAUCUGUCUGAUUCAAAGGUCAUUAAGCAGUGUAUGACUUAUAAAAGCCUCCAAAACAGUUAAAGGCAACAGUGUUAAAGCUGGAAAGAGCUUAUGGAAUCUGCUACACCUGGGCCAGGACCAGAGUGAAUUGUCAGCUCUCUGAGUGGCCACCAGACUGAAUCCCAAAAUGGCAAACAUCCCCCCACUUCAGCUCUUGCUUGUAGCCCAUAAUCAAGUUUACAUAAACAGAAAGUCUCCCAAUCUGCCUGGGACCUCAUCUUCCUAGCUGGGUCACCCCCAAGUUCCU
This 314-nucleotide long non-coding RNA is filed under the name Heterocephalus glaber (naked mole-rat). RNAcentral's name for it is "lncRNA (ENSHGLG00100029497.2)". The record is from RNAcentral. Lineage: Eukaryota; Metazoa; Chordata; Mammalia; Rodentia; Bathyergidae.